Molecule: long non-coding RNA, 1104 nt
Filed under: Anser cygnoides (Swan goose)
Lineage: Eukaryota; Metazoa; Chordata; Aves; Anseriformes; Anatidae
Description: lncRNA (ENSACDG00005004392.1)
Source: RNAcentral
AUGCAACCACUGUGCAUCCUCUGUGUAUCCUCUGUGCAACCAUUGUGCAUCCUGUGUGCAUCCUGUGUGCAUCCUCUGUGCAUCCUCUGUGCAUCCACCACGCAUCCUCUGUGCAACCACUGUGCAUCCUGCGUGCAUCCUCCAUGCAUCCUCUGUGCCACCAUUGUGCGUCCACUGUGCAUCCCUCAUGCGUCCUCGUGUAUCCGCUGUGCAUCCCCGCUGCGUCCCCGCUGUAUCCGCUGUGCACCCAUCGCGCACCCGCCGUGCACCUGCCGCGUGUCCACCGUGCACGCACCGCGCAUCCGUUGUGCUUCUGCUGUGCUUCUGCUGCGCAUCUGCCGCACACCCACCCCGCACCCUCUGUGUGCCCACUGUGCAUCCAUUGUGCAUCUGCUGCGCAUCUGCCGCACAUCCUCUGUGCAUCCACCGUGCAUCUGCCGUGCAUCCGCUGUGUGCUCGCUGUGCAUCCCUGGCACAGCCCCUGCGCAGGUGCUGGGCACCCCCUGCUCGUUCUCUGUGCACCCUGCACGCCCCCGCUGUGCAUUCGCUGUGCAUCCAGCCCGCGUCCCCGGUGCACCCGUGGUGCACCAGCCGUUCACGUGCCGCACAUCCACCCUGCCACCGCCACGCAUCCUCUGUGUGCCUGCUGUGCACCACAGCUCCGCAGAGGGCAAUGUGAGCCACCGCAGAGGACCCGGACGUGCUCUAACUCCUGCACUUCUCCCACCCUGUGUGCUCACAGGGCCCAGUUCGGUGCCUCCCUGCUCGCGCUGGGGACACAGCGGGUGGCAGGGACGAGGCAAGCGCAGCGCCCGGUGCCUUCCGCUGUCCCCUGGGUGGCUCUGGGGAGGCUGCAGAGCUGGAAGUGCCGCUGGCCAUGGGACGGAGAGGAUGGAAGCACGCCUGUCCCAUCCCAGUGGGAAAACGGAGCACAGCACAGCAGCCCCUAGCAGCUCCCCACGUACAUCCUGGCAGGCAGGGCCAGAUCCAGGGGCACCCGGGGGACCCGCGGUGGCGUCUCCAUUGCCCCGAGCCAGCCCAGCUCAUCGCAGAGAAUGCUCAGAGCCCGUGGCAGGGAGACGGGGCUGGCAGACCCUGAGAUAA